Molecule: ribosomal RNA, 646 nt
Filed under: uncultured archaeon
Lineage: Archaea
Description: bacterial SSU rRNA
Rfam family: Archaeal small subunit ribosomal RNA
Source: RNAcentral
GCUUAAAGGAGCCGUAGCUGGCUGUUCAAGUCCCCUGUUAAAUCCACCGAUUUAAUCGUUGGCUUGCGGGGGAUACUGUUCGGCUAGGGGUCGGGAGAGGCAGACGGUAUUUCCGGGGUAGGGGUGAAAUCCUAUAAUCCCGGGAAGACCACCAGUGGCGAAGGCUGUCUGCUAGAACGCGCCCGACGGUGAGGGAUGAAAGCUGGGGGAGCGAACCGGAUUAGAUACCCGGGUAGUCCCAGCUGUAAACUAUGCAGGCUAGGUGUUUGGGCGGCCACGUGCCGCUCUAGUGCCGCAGGGAAGCCGUUAAGCCUGCCGCCUGGGGAGUACGAUCGCAAGAUUGAAACUUAAAGGAAUUGGCGGGGGAGCACCACAAGGGGUGAAGCUUGCGGUUUAAUUGGAGUCAACGCCGGAAAUCUCACCGGGGGCGACAGCAGGGUGAAGGCCAGAUUGAAGGUCUUGCCAGACGAGCUGAGAGGAGGUGCAUGGCCGUCGCCAGUUCGUGCCGUGAGGUGUCCUGUUAAGUCAGGCAACGAUCGAGACCCGCGUCCUCUGUUGCUACUGGUUUUGCGCCAGGCACACUGAGGAGACCGCCGCUGAUAAAGCGGAGGAAGGAGCGGGCCACGGCAGGUCCGCAUGCCCCUAA